UAACAUACGUUGAAAGAGCCCAGUAGCAGUUUGUCACUGUUAACGAGAGAGCUAGGGGUUGCUGGAACCUAGCACAAACAAACUUGCGAAUUACACUCUGGAGUAUCUUAGGUAAUGCUAAGCGGACUAGCAAUCGAUAUUAUUGCUAAGAGUGGUAUGAGUAGCUAUGCUAUUUAUGCAAACUGGGUGGUAACACGGUGAAUAAUCGUCCCUAUG
This is a non-coding RNA of Bacillus thuringiensis serovar israelensis ATCC 35646, 216 nucleotides long. NCBI's taxonomy places the organism in Bacteria, Bacillati, Bacillota, Bacilli, Caryophanales, Bacillaceae. The record is from Rfam.